CUGGGGGGUACUUAAGGGGCUGGAGGAGUACUUAAGGGGCUGGGGGGGAUCUGUGGGGCUGGGGGCUACUUAUGGGGCUGGGGGGGAUCUGUGGGGCUGGGGGGGAUCUAUGGGGCUGGGGGGGUACUUAUGGGGCUGGGGGGUACUUAUGGGGCUGGGGGGGAUCUGUGGGGCUGGGGGGGAUCUGUGGGGCUGGGGGGGGAUCUCUGGGGUUGGGGGGUACUUAUGGGGCUGGGGGGGAUCUGUGGGGCUGGGGGGAAUCUAUGGGGCUAGAAAGGAUUUAUGGAGCUGGAGAAGAUCAGUAGGAUUUUACGGGGUUCUUAUGGGGUUGGAAUGGAUCUAUGGGCUUGGGAGAGGAUCUAUGGGGCAGGGGGCGAUCUAUGGGGCUGGAGGAGACCUAUAGGGCACGGGGGGGGGGAUAUAUGGGGCACGGGAGGGAUCUACGGGGCUGGGAGGGGAUCUGUGGGGCCGGGGGGAACUGUGGGGCUGAGGGAGAUCUAUGGGGCUGAAGGAAAUCUGUGGGGCUGGGGGGGAUAUAUGGGGCUGGGAAGGGAUCUAUGGGGCUGGAAGGAUCAGCAGGGUUCUGUGGGGUACUUAUGGGGCUGGGGGGUACCUGUGGGGCCGGGGGGGGCCGUGGGGCCAGGCGGGGGCGCUCACACACAGCACACAGCACAGCGGGACCCACAUUGAGGUACGUGCAGGAGGCGCACGGCCAGACCCACAGCGACGGCGCCUCUGCGGGGCUGCCCCAUAGCGGCCGCUCAGCCACCCCACAGGGAACACAGGGACCCAUAGGGACACAUAGGGACCCCACAGGGACCACAGGGACCCACAGAGACCCAAAAAGACCCAUAGAGACCCCAUAGAGACCCCAUAGAGACCCAUAGAGACCCAUAGAGACCCAAAAAGACCCAUAGAGACCUCAUAGAGACCUCAUAGAGACCCACAGGAAUCCAUAAAGAUCUAUAGAGACCCACAGGAACCCAUAGAGACCCCACAGGGACCCAUAGGGACCCACAGGGACCCCAUAGGGACCCAUAGAGACCCAUAGGGACCCAUAGGGACCCCACAGGGACCCAUAGAGACCCAUAGCGACCCAUAGGGACCCAUAGGGACCCCACAGGGACCCAUAAAGAUCCCUAGAGACCCCAUAGAGACCCCACAGAGACCCAUAAGGACCCACAAAGACCCCUAAAAACCCCAUAGAGAACCAUACCAACCAAUAGGGACCCAUAGAGACCCAUAGAGACCCCAUAGAGACCCCAUAGAGGCCCAUAAGGACCCAUAGAAACCCAUAGCGACCCCAUAAAGACCACAGGGACCCACAGAGACCCAUACAGACCCCAUAGAGACCCAUAGAGACCCCGUAGAAGCGCAUAAGGACCCAUAAAAACCCAUAGCGACCCCAUAUGGACCACAGAAACCCAUAGAGACCCAUACAGACCCCAUAGAGACCCAUAGGGACCCACAGGGACACACGGAGACCCCAUGAAGACCCAUAGAGGCCCCAUAGAGACCCAUAAGGACUCAUAGAGACCCCAUAGAGACCCAUAGAGAUCCCAUCGGGACCCACAGUGCCCCACAGAGAUCCCACAGCGCCCCAUAGGGCCAUACCUUUCCCCCCCCGAGGUGGGGGUCGCUUGUGGGGCCGCUCCUGUGGGGACAUAUAGGGUCAGCCCGGCACCCCAUAGAAUUCUCCAGCCCCAUAAGAACCCCACAGAGCCCCAUAGGACCCCACAGAGCCCCAUAGAUUCCACCCAGCCCCAUAGGAACGCCAUAGGAACCCCAUAGAGCCCCCAUCGACCCCUCCCAGCCCCAUAGCACCCCACAGAUCCCCAUAUGACCCCACAGAGCCCCAGAGAGCCCCCCCAGCCCCAUAGCGCCCCACAGAUCCCCGUAUGACCCCACAGAGCCCCAUAGAGCCCCCCCAGCCCCAUAGCGCCCCACAGAUCCCCAUAUGACCCCACAGAGCCCCAUAGAGCCCUCCCAGCCCCAUAGCGCCCCACAGAUCCCCAUAUGACCCCACAGAGCCCCAUAGAGCCCCCAUAGAGCCCUCCCAGCCCCAUAGCGCCCCACAGAUCCCCAUAUGACUGCACAGAGCCCCAUAGAGCCCCCCCAGCCCCAUAGCAACCCCAUAGAGCCCCAUAGAGCCCUCCCAGCCCCAUAGGAACCCCACAGAGCCCCAUAGAGCCCCCAUAGAGUCCCCCCAGCCCCAUAGCGCCCCACAGAUCCCCGUAUGACCCCACAGAGCCCCAUAGAGCCCCCCCAGUCCCAUAGCGCCCCACAGAUCCCCGUAUGACCCCACAGAGCCCCAUAGAGCCCCCAUAGAGCCCUCCCAGCCCCAUAGCGCCCCACAGAUCCCCGUAUGACCCCACAGAGCCCCAUAGAGCCCUCCCAGCCCCAUAGCGCCCCACAGAUCCCCACCUUCAUUCCUGUCCCCAUCCGACUCCAGCGGCUCCUCGGGCUCCAGCGGAUCCUGGGGCAGAACACACCAGUAUGGACCAGUAUAAACCAGUACAAACCAGUACGAACCAGUACGAACCAGUAUAAACCAGUACGGACCAGUAUAAACCAGUACAGACCAGUAUAAACCAGUAUAAACCAGUACAGACCAGUAUAAAC
Molecule: long non-coding RNA, 2622 nt
Filed under: Gallus gallus (chicken)
Lineage: Eukaryota; Metazoa; Chordata; Aves; Galliformes; Phasianidae
Description: lncRNA (ENSGALG00010004111.1)
Source: RNAcentral